Molecule: ribosomal RNA, 427 nt
Filed under: uncultured Luteimonas sp.
Lineage: Bacteria; Pseudomonadati; Pseudomonadota; Gammaproteobacteria; Lysobacterales; Lysobacteraceae
Description: bacterial SSU rRNA
Rfam family: Bacterial small subunit ribosomal RNA
Source: RNAcentral
UGGGGAAUAUUGGACAAUGGGCGCAAGCCUGAUCCAGCCCUGCCGCGUGGGUGAAGAAGGCCUUCGUGUUGUAAAGCCCUUUUGUCCGGAAAGAAAAGCUUCGGGUUAAUACCCCGGGGUUCUGACGGUACCGGAAGAAUAAGCACCGGCUAACUUCGUGCCAGCAGCCGCGGUAAUACGAAGGGUGCAAGCGUUACUCGGAAUUACUGGGCGUAAAGCGUGCGUAGGUGGUUUGUUAAGUCUGAUGUGAAAGCCCUGGGCUCAACCUGGGAAUUGCAUUGGAUACUGGCAGGCUAGAGUGCGGUAGAGGGUAGUGGAAUUCCCGGUGUAGCAGUGAAAUGCGUAGAUAUCGGGAGGAACACCAGUGGCGAAGGCGACUACCUGGACCAGCACUGACACUGAGGCACGAAAGCGUGGGGAGCAAACA